This 345-nucleotide ribosomal RNA is filed under the name uncultured bacterium. RNAcentral describes it as "bacterial SSU rRNA". It matches the Rfam family "Bacterial small subunit ribosomal RNA", at positions 1 to 334 of the family's 1533-position model. The record is from RNAcentral.
CUAGCGACUUCAGAGUUUGAUCCUGGCUCAGGAUGAACGCUAGCUACAGGCUUAACACAUGCAAGUCAGGGGCAGCACGGGAAUAGCUUGCUAUUCUGGGUGGCGACCGGCGCACGGGUGAGUAACGCGUAUCCAACCUGCCCAUUACUCAGGGAUAGCCUUGCGAAAGUAAGAUUAAUACCUGAUGUUGUUAUGAAUUUGCAUGAAUUUAUAACUAAAGAUUUAUUGGUAAUGGAUGGGGAUGCGUAACAUUAGGUAGUUGGUGAGGUAACGGCUCACCAAGCCUACGAUGUUUAGGGGUUCUGAGAGGAAGGUCCCCCACACUGGAACUGAGACACGGUCCAG